Unclassified non-coding RNA from Erinaceus europaeus (western European hedgehog), 324 nucleotides. Its record names the gene 7SK. It matches the Rfam family "7SK RNA". From Rfam's summary of the family: 7SK was discovered as an abundant small nuclear RNA in the mid-70s but a possible function has only recently been suggested. Two independent studies have found that 7SK RNA binds the CDK9/cyclin T complex (known as elongation factor P-TEFb). The record is from Ensembl. Lineage: Eukaryota; Metazoa; Chordata; Mammalia; Eulipotyphla; Erinaceidae.
GGAUGUGAGGGCGAUCUGGCUGUGACAUCUGUCACCCCAUUGAUCGCCAGGGUUGAUUCGGCUGAUCUGGCUGGCUAGGUGGGUAUCCCCUUCUUCCCUAACCGCUCCAUGUGUGUCCCUCCCAAAGCUGUGUGCUCGGUUCGGUCAAAGAGGAUGGCCUUCCCUGAAUAGAGACGGACCAGUCUUUGGUCGAGGGUAUAUGAGAAGCUGUGCUCCCCUGCUUGGGCCUCCAAGCAAGCUCUCAAGGACAGUGGAUUAGCACAGUGGGUUAGCACCGAACCCCAGUGAUAACUCUGGUAGGAUAAAUAAAUAAAUAAAUAAAUC